This 75-nucleotide transfer RNA is filed under the name Shigella flexneri. RNAcentral's name for it is "tRNA-Gly". It matches the Rfam family "tRNA". From Rfam's summary of the family: Transfer RNA (tRNA) molecules are approximately 80 nucleotides in length. RNAcentral also lists the same sequence under 1 other name. The record is from RNAcentral. Lineage: Bacteria; Pseudomonadati; Pseudomonadota; Gammaproteobacteria; Enterobacterales; Enterobacteriaceae.
GCGGGCAUCGUAUAAUGGCUAUUACCUCAGCCUUCCAAGCUAAUGAUGCGGGUUCGAUUCCCGCUGCCCGCUCCA